Molecule: long non-coding RNA, 699 nt
Organism: Lycium barbarum (goji berry)
Lineage: Eukaryota; Viridiplantae; Streptophyta; Magnoliopsida; Solanales; Solanaceae
Exons: 2
Source: RefSeq, a predicted model, not a curated record
ACAUUUUCUCUUUUUCUUUUUUGACUGCAUGUCACUUUUCCCCUAAAUUUGCUCCUUCUCCCCCGCUCCCUACGCUCCUUCCCUCUCUUUUUUCUUUGACAAACCCUAUAAAUGAAUUGCUAGUUAUUCUCUGGAAAAAAAAAAAAAAAGAAGAGAAAGUUUCCAGUGGUCAAAAAAAAAAAUCCCUUGAACAAUUAAAGUUUGGGGAACAGAUCUAAAAACCCCCGUUUAUUUUCAUAAAAAACAGGUUUUCCAGUGGCUAAAAUCCUUUUGUUUUUUUAAAAAGGGAGUUUUGGAGAAACAAAAAACAAAUCUCUCAAUUCUUGUCUAUCUACUUUAGUUAUUUAUAAGUUUUAAUUCUCAUUUUAUUGGGGGAGUAGUAGUGGAUCUAAGACCUCAAAGCCUCGUUCACUGCUCCUGUGGAAGGUCGUCGUGGAGCAUCCAAUUAAUGCCGGAGGUUUGAAGACAACCAAAGGAAAUCAGUGGAGAUGAAGUAUUAAAUAUCUUAGAUUAACUUUGAAUUGUAUUAUUAACUGACAUGUAAUAAAUUUUUUAUUAUUAGUUUUAGGAAGAGUUAUGGAAUGAUACAUAAAAGACAUGUUUGUCCUUCAAAUGUUCGUUAGGCCUACCUCUGGCAUAAAGAGGUCCCUUGUAUUAUAGAACGCGAUGUAUUAUGUGCAAUAAUAUGUCCUUACCGUA